UUUCGAAUCGUUCACAAUGGGGGCAACCCUGAUGGCGCGACGCCGCGUGGGGGAUGAAGGUCUUCGGAUUGUAAACUCCUGUCAUGGGGGACUAAUGGCCAGGCUCAUACCCUGGUUUGAAUUAACCCCAAGAGGAAGCAGUGGCUAACUCUGUGCCAGCAGCCGCGGUAAUACAGAGACUGCAAGCGUUACUCGGAUUCACUGGGCGUAAAGGGAGCGCAGGCGGGCAGGUGUGUCAGGCGUGAAAUCCCAGGGCUCAACCCUGGGGCUGCGCUUGAAACUACCUGUCUAGAGAUUCGGAGGGGUAAGCGGAAUUCGUGGUGGAGCAGUGAAAUGCGUAGAUAUCACGAGGAACACCGACGGCGAAGGCAGCUUACUGGACGAAAUCUGACGCUCAGGCUCGAAAGCGUGGGGAGCAAAAGGG
RNAcentral lists this ribosomal RNA (424 nucleotides) under uncultured Opitutia bacterium. RNAcentral describes it as "bacterial SSU rRNA". It matches the Rfam family "Bacterial small subunit ribosomal RNA", at positions 355 to 776 of the family's 1533-position model. Lineage: Bacteria; Pseudomonadati; Verrucomicrobiota; Opitutia. The record is from RNAcentral.